CAAAGAGAGAACGAGCUUAUCUUAUGUUGCAAAAGUGGCAUUCCAAGGAAGGAGAUAAUGCAUCUAUAGACACAGUGAAAGCUGAACUCAAACAUGUCAAAGAGCAAAAGAAACCAGAAGCAGUUGAUGGAAUAAUAUUUCCUGAUCAUCUGAGGGAAGAAAACCAGUUUUGUGGCCGAAAAGAAGAAUUGCAGAGGUUACAGGAAACAUUUUUGGGAGAGGAAAAAGUUCAUCUGCCAAUAAAGGAAAAUUGCUGUGUGGUGAUCAAAGGUAUGGGUGGCUUGGGGAAAUCAUCUUUGGCAGCUAAAUAUGCAUUGCUCUGGAAACACUUCUACAGUGAUGGAGUGAUAUAUUUCAAUGCAGAAUCAUGGGCAUCACUGGCAAACUCAGUUAUACGCAAUUUAAAAGUCUUGUGUUUGAGCUGCAGUCCACAAAGCUCAUUCAAAGAGAAAAAUGAAGUUCUUCUUAACUAUGUCUACAGGCACUCAAAUAUGCUGUUGGUUUAUGAUGGUGCUGAUGAUCUCUCUUUUUUGCCCAAACUUCUUCCUCAAUUUUCUGCUCACGUUCAUGUGUUAAUUACAACUCGAUGUGAAGAUUGUUCUAACCUACAAAAUGUAAGCCUUGAGGUUCCUCUUGGUCGUUUGAAGAAAGAAGAUGCUAUGUCAGCUCUAACUAAAUGGUCUGGUCGUCAACCACCAAAUAGUGAUGAGCAAGUUGCUGCCAUGAAGCUAUCCACUGAACCUCCCAUAGAAAUGCUACCUAUUGCUCUUGCUCAUGCAGGCACAUAUGUGCGAAAGACACAUAUAAGCUAUGAGGAAUAUUACAAGAAAUUGAAAAAAGAAGAAGAUAAUCUGAAAGCUUUAACUUUGAAUUUUGACAAUCUUUUGCCAUACUUUAAAGCGAGUCGUCUUCAUGAAACUUUGUUGAAUACUGGGUUGACUCAACCUUCUGAUUUGGCAAAGUUGACCAGUGAAGACAUUGAUGGGUUGAAUAUAAGUAAUUAUGACAAACAUGUGGUCAGAAAUAUGCAGUCGUUUAUGUCUUCUAGUCAUGCUCAUCUCACGUGGCAGAUGGACGUGGACUUGGUUGCCAAAGAGAAUUCAGAAGCGUUGUCUGUUCUUGAAUAUGCAUCGUUUCUGUCCUCAAGAGACAUUCCAGAGAAUCUAGUUCGUCCUCUUGUCUUUAAUGAAUCUGCCAGGUACCAAUACAGUCUGUGCGUCUCAACGUUGUCCUCACACAAUUUAGUUGAAUGGCAUGAGACUGCAGAAGGAUACACUUUGAAUGUUCAUCCAUUGGUGCAGUCAACAGUGAUGGAACGCAUUAAGCAGCAACCAGAUGAGAUGGAACACAAACUAACUGAGGUUUGCAAGACAUUUAUGUUUCAAAGGCCAGAAGAGUCUUCUAUGUAUCAAGAUGAACGUUUUCAACGACUUGUAGCUCAUUUAUAUUCAUUGGCCAAACAUAUUGUGAUUGCUGGUGUAAAUGACGUAACUUGUGUGGAUCUGGUUUCACUUGCCUGUCAUGUUUCUUUGUAUUACAAUCAAGCAGAGCUAGCUUUGUUUCUUUCUGAGAAACUGUACCAAAUUGUGAUCAAAUGCGAUAUGCGAUUCACAUACAUCCUUUUUGAAGCAAUGAUUUUAUUGGCUCAUGCACAUCUUUCGAAGGCAAAUAUACAGAAAGCAUUGGAUCUGUUCCUAGAAACUAAGGAGUUCAUUGAAGCAUUAGGACCAGAACACCAGCAUAAACUGUUGAAACAACGGUACAAAGUGUUGUCAAAUAUCAUUAUUUGCUGUGAAAUACAAAGAAAAAGGGAAGAAGUAGCAUUUUACAUAGAUCAGUUAAAAGUACUGAGACAAACUUUUGAAACUGAAUCUGCAGUGAAGAUGGACAACAAUAGGGAAUGGAAGUUCAUGGCACAGAAUUAUAUCAGAUUGGGUAAACCGGACAAAGCCAAGGAACUAUUUGAACAGCAACUGGAAAAGGUCAAUGAUAUGGAAGAAUAUAAUCAGAUGAUAGCAAUGGCCAAUUUAGGAAGCUAUUUUUUCAGCAUUGGAGACACUGAAAAGGCAGCUGAUUUAUUGAAGAAGUCAUAUGAUUAUGUUUGUCGAGUCACUCCCAAUGAUCACUCUCGAAUUGUUCAACUUCUGAUUGACAUGUCUAAGUGUGAGUUUGAAAGAGCUAAUGGAUCAAAAGACAAACUUAUGGCAGCAUUGGAAUUAGGAAAUAAAGCUUUAUCUGUUGCUCAGUCUUCACAAACAUCAGACCAGGCUCUAGUUGUUUAUAGCAAAAAGUAUGUUGCUGUAUGUCAUCAGAAUUUAGGAAACAUGAAAAUGACUAUUCAGCUACUGGAAGAAUGCAGGAAGAUUGAGGAAGCUCAUAUUCUUGAUUGGCAUGAAGCUCUGUGUCACACAUUGCGGUUCUUAGGAUUAGCAUAUCUGAGUGAAGGCAAUUUUGAGAAAGCUCUUGAUUGCUUUAAUGAAGCACUACAGCUGCACCAGCAACAAGAAGAUACUCCGUAUCAUUCAGAAAUUGCUGAUACUUUGAUGAUGCUUGGUGAUGUCUAUUGUGAGAUGAACAAACUUGAUGAUGCAUUGCAACGUUUUGAGCAGUCUCUAGAGAUUAGAGAACAAAAGCAAUUAUUUGGUCCCACAACUGUUCUAGUUUGUCAACAUUUUGGAAAAACUCACUGGAGGAUGUUACUAAAAGGGAACUUUUCACAAGUCUACAGAGCACGAACUGCACUUACGAAGUCUCUCAGCAUCCUGCUGUCUUGUCCAAACUGUGAUCAACAAAUUUUAGAAAGUUUGGCAAUGCUGGCCAACUUGUAUGAAAUAAGAAUUGACAACAUGAGUUUGAAGGACUACUGUAUUAUGCUAGGACUGAUAGCAAGGACAGCAUAUGCUCACACAAAUUAUGCUAUAGCCAAGGAGUUGUUCUACAUGAGAAAGAAAGUUCGACUUGAUGUGAUGGCAUCAGAUCCAGUAGAAGGAGCUAUUGAUGAUAACCAAUGAGAGGAUUUCUGUCAUCACAGUUGAACUACAUUUUGGAAAAGAAUAGAGAAAGCUAUAAAUUAGAAAAACUGGGGGGCCAAAAGAAUGGUUGAGUAUUCGCAUUGUUGAUUCCAGCUGCCAUGUUGGUACAUACAGCUGCCAUGUUGGUACAUACAGCUGCCAGUCCUUGUGUUCUUUGCGAUACUCCAACAGCUAAACAAAAUAUUGGUUCACGAGUGAGGGCAGUGGUUCAAUUAAUUAAAUGGGCGACUAUGUUGUGUAUGAUCACUGGAUUGUGUGUGAAAGUAUGAAAAAUCAUGAUAUGAUGCAAACAGGUGUUGAUUAAUAAACCAAAUUGCAAUUGAUUUGAGGCUCACGUGUUGUUCCCACUUGGCUUGUCUGAAACUUUACUUGCCCCAGCAACCUACACCUUUUGCAAUUGCCGAUGAAUGUGCUGAACUGCACAUCAAAAUCAUGUACAGUAAUCUAAGAAAGCACACUUGUCAAGCCAUGUUUGUGUUGUUGGACUCCUAAUAAAUAAGGUCGUAAUAUUUUAAUGAAGUAGAAUGAUCUCAAAUUCUGUUAUUCCAGUGUUGUUGUAUCAUAUAUGACCAAAUGUGACUAUACCUUUAUUCUGUGUGUUUUGUUGCUAUGUAGUUUUGCAUGACAUUGGUUUGUGUCACCUACGUCUCUCAGAGUUGGACAAAGCAGAGAAUAGUUUUGCUGAAUCGCUGGGAAUUGUUCAACAUUUGAAACCAGAAGAAGUUCAGAGUUUACAGAUUUCAACUAUCAAAAAUCUACUUGGACU
RNA transcript from Corticium candelabrum, 3798 nucleotides. RefSeq lists it as uncharacterized. The record is from RefSeq and is a predicted model, not a curated record. The transcript has 17 exons. NCBI's taxonomy places the organism in Eukaryota, Metazoa, Porifera, Homoscleromorpha, Homosclerophorida, Plakinidae.